This 1282-nucleotide ribosomal RNA is filed under the name uncultured Acidovorax sp. RNAcentral describes it as "bacterial SSU rRNA". It matches the Rfam family "Bacterial small subunit ribosomal RNA", at positions 154 to 1437 of the family's 1533-position model. The record is from RNAcentral. Lineage: Bacteria; Pseudomonadati; Pseudomonadota; Betaproteobacteria; Burkholderiales; Comamonadaceae.
AAAGCUUUGCUAAUACCGCAUACGAUCUACGGAUGAAAGCAGGGGACCGCAAGGCCUUGCGCGAACGGAGCGGCCGAUGGCAGAUUAGGUAGUUGGUGGGAUAAAAGCUUACCAAGCCGACGAUCUGUAGCUGGUCUGAGAGGACGACCAGCCACACUGGGACUGAGACACGGCCCAGACUCCUACGGGAGGCAGCAGUGGGGAAUUUUGGACAAUGGGCGAAAGCCUGAUCCAGCCAUGCCGCGUGCAGGAUGAAGGCCUUCGGGUUGUAAACUGCUUUUGUACGGAACGAAAAGACUCUGGUUAAUACCUGGGGUCCAUGACGGUACCGUAAGAAUAAGCACCGGCUAACUACGUGCCAGCAGCCGCGGUAAUACGUAGGGUGCAAGCGUUAAUCGGAAUUACUGGGCGUAAAGCGUGCGCAGGCGGUUAUAUAAGACAGAUGUGAAAUCCCCGGGCUCAACCUGGGAACUGCAUUUGUGACUGUAUAGCUAGAGUACGGCAGAGGGGGAUGGAAUUCCGCGUGUAGCAGUGAAAUGCGUAGAUAUGCGGAGGAACACCGAUGGCGAANGCNAUCCCCUGGGCCUGUACUGACGCUCAUGCACGAAAGCGUGGGGAGCAAACAGGAUUAAAUACCCUGGUAGUCCACGCCCUAAACGAUGUCAACUGGUUGUUGGGUCUUCACUGACUCAGUAACGAAGCUAACGCGUGAAGUUGACCGCCUGGGGAGUACGGCCGCAAGGUUGAAACUCAAAGGAGUUGACGGGGACCCGCACAAGCGGUGGAUGAUGUGGUUUAAUUCGAUGCAACGCGAAAAACCUUACCCACCUUUGACAUGUACGGAAUCCUUUAGAGAUAGAGGAGUGCUCGAAAGAGAGCCGUAACACAGGUGCUGCAUGGCUGUCGUCAGCUCGUGUCGUGAGAUGUUGGGUUAAGUCCCGCAACGAGCGCAACCCUUGCCAUUAGUUGCUACGAAAGGGCACUCUAAUGGGACUGCCGGUGACAAACCGGAGGAAGGUGGGGAUGACGUCAAGUCCUCAUGGCCCUUAUAGGUGGGGCUACACACGUCAUACAAUGGCUGGUACAGAGGGUUGCCAACCCGCGAGGGGGAGCUAAUCCCAUAAAGCCAGUCGUAGUCCGGAUCGCAGUCUGCAACUCGACUGCGUGAAGUCGGAAUCGCUAGUAAUCGCGGAUCAGAAUGUCGCGGUGAAUACGUUCCCGGGUCUUGUACACACCGCCCGUCACACCAUGGGAGCGGGUUCUGCCAGAAGUANGUAGCCUA